UACGUAGGGUGCGAGCGUUAAUCGGAAUUACUGGGCGUAAAGCGUGCGCAGGCGGGCUUUUAAGCCAGACGUGAAAUCCCCGGGCUUAACCUGGGAAUGGCGUUUGGGACUGGAAGUCUGGAGUGCGGCAGAGGGGGAUGGAAUUCCGCGUGUAGCAGUGAAAUGCGUAGAUAUGCGGAGGAACACCGAUGGCGAAGGCAAUCCCCUGGGCCUGCACUGACGCUCAUGCACGAAAGCGUGGGGAGCAAACAGG
This 253-nucleotide ribosomal RNA is filed under the name uncultured bacterium. RNAcentral describes it as "partial 16S ribosomal RNA". It matches the Rfam family "Bacterial small subunit ribosomal RNA", at positions 524 to 776 of the family's 1533-position model. The record is from RNAcentral.